CACCCGGCGAAUUUAAGCAUAUUACUAACCGGAGGAAAAGAAACCAACAGGGACGUCCUCAGUAGCGGCGAGCGAAGCGGACGAUGCCCAAACCGAACCGCGGUUCCCGAGGGGCCGCGGAGUGUGGAGAGGAUGAGCUCGCGAGGGGGCGGGACGGGUUCCAAUCCGUCUGGAAGGGCGGAGGCACGGAGGGCGAUUCCCCGUACGUGCUCGGUCCGUCCCCGACGAGCGAACGCAUCGGAGAGUCGGGCCGCUUGAGAGUGCAGCCCGAAUGGGGUGAUAGGUCUCAUCCAAGGCUAAGUACGUGGGAGACGCCGAUAGCGAACAAGUACGGCGACGGAAAGGUGAAAAGAACCUCAAAGGGGGGUCAAAAGCGCUCGAAAUCGUAGAGGGGGAAGCGGGACCUGACCGACGAGACCUCGUCGUCGCUCGCGCUCGACCCACGCUUCGUCGCGGAGUUCCGGAGGGC
Molecule: ribosomal RNA, 469 nt
Filed under: uncultured eukaryote
Lineage: Eukaryota
Description: eukaryotic LSU rRNA
Rfam family: Eukaryotic large subunit ribosomal RNA
Source: RNAcentral